AGGAGACAGGAAAACACUUUCAACAUCUUGAUUGGAUAAAGAGAACCUGGCAGAGAGCUUCACAGGAACUGGCAGACUAGAGGCAACUUGACAAACAAGUUUCACAGGAACUCACAGGACAACCUGGCAAGGGAGUUUUGGAGGAACGCUCAGACGUGAAUCCUGGAGUACAUCAAUCCUGAAUCACCCAGCAAUGUUCAUUCUGACUUGACGAUGGCCGCCUUCAGCCUAAAGAUUUGACAAGCCAUAGGAUCAUCUCAAUGGAAGAAGGCUGUGGAGGAAAACUAACUCGGCAUUUGCAUCUUGGAGUAAAGAUAUUGGUUCUUUAGUUCUUUAUAAAGGGAAGACGUUUGUCUCAAGAACUUCUUCUUGGUUGGGCAGGCCAGCAAAGCAUCAGUCCUUUCUGAACUGAACUACAACAGACGGUACAGAGUGACAAUGCAAUGACACCUUUCAAAGCAAUAAUACAUCGGGUAAUGACAGGAGUGUCAUGCCAUGCUUCUUGAUUCUUCUCUGUUCAAGGAUCAACUGUUAUCAGCAAGCCAGCAAGCCACCAAGCAUCUUAAAAAGGAUUUAAGCUUCUUACAAAUUCAGACGACAUUAGAACAGCAAAGUUAGAUUGCCACUGCUUGUUGGUAGACGCUAUUAAGGCCUUGUCACAUGAGGAAACUUUGUAGGCAACUUGGAGGCAACCAACUGUGCAUGCUCGGGACCACUUUGGUAUUACAGGAGUCAUUUUUUAAAUAAUGUUUUAUAAUUCCUUAAAAAAUUAUGAGAACAUUCAACAUGUGAAUCAAAUCUUAUCUUGGAGAUCGCCUGGAACUGGUUGCCUGUAAAUUGCCUCGUGUGACAUUGCCUUUAGAACACUCGGAAAACUGUAUCUUGUUCAAAAAAUUUCUUCAACUCUUCAACUGAGCAGCAAUGGGAUUCCACAAACAAGGACAGCAAGUUGCGCAUAUGGAUGAACAUUACCAAGAACUUCUCACGUUAGUCACAAGGAUUGUGUCUUCAUCAGCUAUGUACCACAGAAAGACUUUCUCCAAUCAUUGACAUUUUUGACAUUACGAACGGUUAAACCACUGUUACGUGAAACUGUUAAAGGCACUGGACACCUUUGGUAAUUGUCAAAGACCAGUUUUCUCACUA
Long non-coding RNA from Asterias rubens (European starfish), 1146 nucleotides. RefSeq lists it as uncharacterized. Lineage: Eukaryota; Metazoa; Echinodermata; Asteroidea; Forcipulatida; Asteriidae. The record is from RefSeq and is a predicted model, not a curated record. The transcript has 4 exons.